This 447-nucleotide ribosomal RNA is filed under the name uncultured Pantoea sp. Its description in RNAcentral is "bacterial SSU rRNA". It matches the Rfam family "Bacterial small subunit ribosomal RNA", at positions 505 to 956 of the family's 1533-position model. Lineage: Bacteria; Pseudomonadati; Pseudomonadota; Gammaproteobacteria; Enterobacterales; Erwiniaceae. The record is from RNAcentral.
GUGCCAGCCGCUGCGGUAAUACGGAGGGUGCAAGCGUUAAUCGGAAUUACUGGGCGUAAAGCGCACGCAGGCGGUCUGACAAGUCGGAUGUGAAAUCCCCGGGCUCAACCCGGGAACUGCAUUCGAAACUGUCAGGCUGGAGUCUUGUAGGGGGGGGUAGAAUUCCAGGUGUAGCGGUGAAAUGCGUAGAGAUCUGGAGGAAUACCGGUGGCGAAGGCGGCCCCCUGGACAAAGACUGACGCUCAGGUGCGAAAGCGUGGGGAGCAAACAGGAUUAGAUACCCUGGUAGUCCACGCUGUAAACGAUGUCGACUUGGAGGUUGUGCCCUUGAGGCGUGGCUUCGGAGCUAACGCGUUAAGUCGACCGCCUGGGGAUACGGCCGCAAGGUUAAACUCAAAUGAAUUGACGGGGCCGCACAAGCGGUGGAGCAUGUGGUUUAAUUCGAUG